RNAcentral lists this unclassified non-coding RNA (156 nucleotides) under uncultured Periconia. RNAcentral describes it as "sequence contains ITS2". Lineage: Eukaryota; Fungi; Ascomycota; Sordariomycetes; Microascales; Halosphaeriaceae. The record is from RNAcentral.
ACACCCUCAAGCUCUGCUUGGUGUUGGGCGUCUGUCCCGCUCCCGUAGCGCGGACUCGCCUCAAAGUCAUUGGCGGCGGUCGUGCCGGCUCCUCGCGCAGCACAUUUGCGCUUCUCGGAGGCCCGGCGGAUCAGCGUCCAGCAAGACACCUUCAUG